Molecule: transfer RNA, 74 nt
Filed under: Schistocerca americana (American grasshopper)
Lineage: Eukaryota; Metazoa; Arthropoda; Insecta; Orthoptera; Acrididae
Description: tRNA-Thr
Rfam family: tRNA
About the family: Transfer RNA (tRNA) molecules are approximately 80 nucleotides in length. Their secondary structure includes four short double-helical elements and three loops (D, anti-codon, and T loops).
Source: RNAcentral
UCCUCGGUGGCUCAGUUGGAUAGAGCGUCUGCCAUGUAAGCAGGAGAUCCUGGGUUCGAGUCCCGGUCGGGGCA